AGGACCGAAGUGGACGAACCUCUGGUGUAUCUGUUGUUCUGCCAAGAGCAAAUGCAGAGUAGCUACGUUCGGAAGGGAUAACCGCUGAAAGCAUCUAAGCGGGAAGCCCACCUUAAGAUGAGAUUUCCCUGGGAGCCUGACUCCCCUGAAGACUCCAGAGACACUAUCUGGUUGAUAGGCUGCAGGUACAAGCACCGCGAGGUGUUCAGCCGAGCAGUACUAAUAAGUCGUGAGGCUUGACCAU
Molecule: ribosomal RNA, 244 nt
Filed under: Treponema sp.
Lineage: Bacteria; Pseudomonadati; Spirochaetota; Spirochaetia; Treponematales; Treponemataceae
Description: partial 23S ribosomal RNA
Rfam family: Bacterial large subunit ribosomal RNA
Source: RNAcentral